RNAcentral lists this ribosomal RNA (486 nucleotides) under uncultured bacterium. Its description in RNAcentral is "SSU rRNA". It matches the Rfam family "Bacterial small subunit ribosomal RNA", at positions 26 to 521 of the family's 1533-position model. The record is from RNAcentral.
AGGACGAACGCUGGCGGCGUGCCUAACACAUGCAAGUCGAACGAGGUCCAACCGGUGGCAACACUGGUGAAGACCUAGUGGCGAACGGGUGAGUAUCACGUGAGCAACCUGCCCCGAAGACUGGGAUAACACCGGGAAACCGGUGCUAAUACCGGAUACCCCCACCGGAUCGCAUGGUCUGGUGAGGAAAUGAAUUUUGCUUUGGGAGGGACUCGCGGCCUAUCAGCUUGUUGGUGGUGUAACGGACCACCAAGGCUUCGACGGGUAGCUGGUCUGAGAGGACGAUCAGCCACACUGGGACUGAGACACGGCCCAGACUCCUACGGGAGGCAGCAGUGGGGGAAUCUUGCGCAAUGGGCGAAAGCCUGACGCAGCAACGCCGCGUGAGGGACGAAGGCCUUCUGGGUUGUAAACCUCUUUCAGCAGGGACGAUGAUGACGGUACCUGCAGAAGAAGCCCGGCCAACUACGCGCCAGCAGCCGCGGU